UGAGCACCGUAGAGCUUCUUGGAGCGGGGCUUUGCUGAGGUUCAAAUGUUGAGCAGAAUUUGGAGAAGCAAGCGGGAGUACAUUCAUGCAAGGAUGGCUGCAGAUAUUUCCAGCGGAACUGAAAUGGUACUGGAAAGAUAAACUUGGAGAAGAGCAGUGAAGAUGCUACCUCACCGUGGCGCAAGUUACUGAGCGUCAGGGGAGCAGAGCACUGCUGGGGAGACCGUGGUGCACGGCCGGACUGACUUUGCCGUCUCUGGGACCGCGGCUGCGUGGAUGCGCAGGUACUACCACAGCACUCGGCACCUUUCCAGACUUCAAUUUCUAUUUCACAGGUAAUAUUUUCAAAUCUUCCAGCCACACUACAUCCAAAGUAUUGUUCCAGUUAGAUA
RNAcentral lists this long non-coding RNA (392 nucleotides) under Chinchilla lanigera (long-tailed chinchilla). Its description in RNAcentral is "lncRNA (ENSCLAG00000025267.1)". The record is from RNAcentral. Lineage: Eukaryota; Metazoa; Chordata; Mammalia; Rodentia; Chinchillidae.